RNAcentral lists this ribosomal RNA (429 nucleotides) under bacterium. Its description in RNAcentral is "partial 16S ribosomal RNA". It matches the Rfam family "Bacterial small subunit ribosomal RNA", at positions 355 to 776 of the family's 1533-position model. The record is from RNAcentral.
UAGGGAAUCUUCGGCAAUGGGGGCAACCCUGACCGAGCAACGCCGCGUGAGUGAAGAAGGUUUUCGGAUCGUAAAGCUCUGUUGUAAGAGAAGAACGUGUGUGAGAGUGGAAAGUUCACACAGUGACGGUAACUUACCAGAAAGGGACGGCUAACUACGUGCCAGCAGCCGCGGUAAUACGUAGGUCCCGAGCGUUGUCCGGAUUUAUUGGGCGUAAAGCGAGCGCAGGCGGUUUAAUAAGUCUGAAGUUAAAGGCAGUGGCUUAACCAUUGUUCGCUUUGGAAACUGUUAAACUUGAGUGCAGAAGGGGAGAGUGGAAUUCCAUGUGUAGCGGUGAAAUGCGUAGAUAUAUGGAGGAACACCGGUGGCGAAAGCGGCUCUCUGGUCUGUAACUGACGCUGAGGCUCGAAAGCGUGGGGAGCAUACAGG